Molecule: unclassified non-coding RNA, 273 nt
Filed under: Hevea brasiliensis (rubber tree)
Lineage: Eukaryota; Viridiplantae; Streptophyta; Magnoliopsida; Malpighiales; Euphorbiaceae
Source: RNAcentral
AUAAGCCUCCGGCUAUUGAGAUGAGUAUUAUUCUGAAUGGCACGAUAUAAUUGUGUGUUUUUAUGAAAUUCGUUUUGAGACUUCCUAAAUGAAAUUGUUUAGACUAAAAAAAUUUAUAAAUCAUGUUUUGUAUAUGUUUUUCAUGUUCAGUACCAUAUUUGAAUAAAUAUGAUUUGAAUUAUGCAUAAAAUGUUAUUUUAGUAUGUUGUGUACCACUGAGUCAUAGUACUCAGCGAUGGCUGUUGUUGUUGUCGCAGAUAUAGAGACUAGAGG